GUUGAACGCUGGCGGAAUGCUUUACACAUGCAAGUCGAACGGCAGCACGGACUUCGGUCUGGUGGAGAGUGGCGAACGGGUGAGUAAUGUAUCGGAAUGUGUCCAGUCGUGGGGGAUAACGUAGUGAAAAUUACGCUAAUACCGCAUACGAUCUAUGGAUGAAAGCGGGGGAUUGCAAGACCUCGCGCGAUUGGAGCGGCCGAUAUCAGAUUAGGUAGUUGGUGGGGUAAAGGCACACCAAGCCAACGAUCUGUAGCUGGUCUGAGAGGACGACCAGCCACACUGGAACUGAGACACGGUCCAGACUCCUACGGGAGGCAGCAGUGGGGAAUUUUGGACAAUGGGCGAAAGCCUGAUCCAGCCAUUCCGCGUGCAGGAUGAAGGCCCUCGGGUUGUAAACUGCUUUUGUACAGAACGAAAAGGUUUCUACUAAUACUAGGAGCUCAUGACGGUACUGUAAGAAUAAGCACCGGCUAACUACGUGCCAGCCGCCGCCGUAA
This 500-nucleotide ribosomal RNA is filed under the name uncultured bacterium. Its description in RNAcentral is "partial 16S ribosomal RNA". It matches the Rfam family "Bacterial small subunit ribosomal RNA", at positions 28 to 523 of the family's 1533-position model. The record is from RNAcentral.